RNAcentral lists this ribosomal RNA (399 nucleotides) under uncultured bacterium. Its description in RNAcentral is "bacterial SSU rRNA". It matches the Rfam family "Bacterial small subunit ribosomal RNA", at positions 355 to 769 of the family's 1533-position model. The record is from RNAcentral.
UGGGGAAUAUUGGGCAAUGGGCGCAAGCCUGACCCAGCAACGCCGCGUGGAGGAAGAAGGCUUUCGGGUUGUAAACUUCUUUUGUCAGGGACGAGGAGAAGACGGUACCUGACGAAUAAGCCACGGCUAACUACGUGCCAGCAGCCGCGGUAAUACGUAGGUGGCAAGCGUUGUCCGGAUUUACUGGGUGUAAGGGGAGCGCAGGCGGAAGGACAAGUUGGAAGUGAAACCCACGGGCUCAACCCGUGAACUGCUUUCAAAACUGUUUUUCUUGAGUGGUGUAGAGGUAGGCGGAAUUCCCGGUGUAGCGGUGGAAUGCGUAGAUAUCGGGAGGAACACCAGUGGCGAAGGCGGCCUACUGGGCACUAACUGACGCUGAGGCUCGAAAGCAUGGGUAGC